This 425-nucleotide ribosomal RNA is filed under the name uncultured bacterium. RNAcentral's name for it is "bacterial SSU rRNA". It matches the Rfam family "Bacterial small subunit ribosomal RNA", at positions 354 to 796 of the family's 1533-position model. The record is from RNAcentral.
GUGGGGAAUAUUGGACAAUGGGCGCAAGCCUGAUCCAGCCAUGCCGCGUGAGUGAUGAAGGCCCUAGGGUUGUAAAGCUCUUUCACAGGUGAAGAUAAUGACGGUAACCGGAGAAGAAGCCCCGGCUAACUUCGUGCCAGCAGCCGCGGUAAUACGAAGGGGGCUAGCGUUGUUCGGAAUUACUGGGCGUAAAGCGCACGUAGGCGGGUAUUUAAGUCAGGGGUGAAAUCCCGGAGCUCAACUCCGGAACUGCCUUUGAUACUGGGUACCUAGAGUAUGGAAGAGGUAAGUGGAAUUCCGAGUGUAGAGGUGAAAUUCGUAGAUAUUCGGAGGAACACCAGUGGCGAAGGCGGCUUACUGGUCCAUUACUGACGCUGAGGUGCGAAAGCGUGGGGAGCAAACAGGAUUAGAUACCCGUGUAGUCC